Molecule: transfer RNA, 72 nt
Filed under: Methanobacteriota archaeon
Lineage: Archaea; Methanobacteriati; Methanobacteriota
Description: Euryarchaeota archaeon tRNA-Asn
Rfam family: tRNA
About the family: Transfer RNA (tRNA) molecules are approximately 80 nucleotides in length.
Source: RNAcentral
GCAGCCGUAGCAGGAGGGUCCCUGCACUGGCCUGUUAAGCCGGAGACCGCGGUUCGAUUCCGCGCGGCUGCG